UGUGCAAAUUAGUUGUUUUAGGAAAUGUGUUUUUGAUUUGAAGUUAUGAUUUCCAUCUUAAGUUAGUAGUUGUACCUAGUUGUCUUGGUGUACUACUGAAUGUUGUGUUCAAUUGGUGUGAAUAGGUGUAAUUUACUUAGUUUAGUUGUGUGCUGGUGUGUUCAAGCUUGUGUUGUCAUGAAUUGCAAGUUUAGGUAUGCCUUUUGUGUCAAAAGUAUACCCUUGAGUUAGAGAGUUGGAAAGAUUUGGAAGUGGACACUUGAUUUGGCAUUCUUGCACUCAAUUUCACCACCUAUGGAUUUGAGCAAGUUUGUAUAGUGGAAAGACAUUGAUCUGGGCUGAAUUGAGUGUCAAAGAAAUGCCAAAACCCAUAAGUCAAAGUUGAGUAACCAAAUUUCAAGUCUGCAGAAUUGGCGCCCCAACGCCCCCAUAGGGCACCCAACGCCCUUGUUUGCUGCCUUCCUAGCCAAUUUGUCAUGCCCAAGCCCCUCUAGAGGGCGCCCGAGCGUGAAAGCUGCAAAAAAUUCAAAUCUGAGUGGGCUUGGACUGCACAAUGUUGGCCCAUUUCAAUGUUUUUCUAACCCUAGUGCUUCUCUCACUCUCUCACGCCCAAAACCUAGUGCCUCCUCCUACACCUCAUUCAACCAUUCCCUCACACUCUCCACUUUCACAGCUUCCCAUUCCCAACCACCAUGACCUCCCCUCUCACGCACACAUCAUUCUCCAUUAGAGUACUCACCAUCAUCAACCACCUCUACCCCAUUUUUCCCUGUCACCCAUUCCCUAAUUCACUCACCACCGCAACCCUAAUUCCCACUCACUCACUCACAAUCUUCCCUAACACAAACACCUAAAACCAAACCCCUUUAGUUUAUCCACCACACGUGGGUUACCAUUUGCGUUUGUUGUGCCAUCACGCUCUGUCGCCCUCACAAUCUCCACCCCACUUCGCUCCUAUUGUUUUGCCCUUACUCAUUCACAGUCUACUGCUGCACUCUCCACCAUUAACGGGCUGCAUUCACAACACUGCCGCAACCCUCUCCCUCAAGCCUUGGUUUUGACACUUCAAGAGCAAUUCUCCAACUCAAGUAGGUUGUCCCCUUUUACUUUUAUUGUCUCAUGUGUUGUUGUUUGUGGUUUAUGGUGCGUAAAUGUUCAUUGUCUAUAGUUAGCAUUGCCUAAUCUACCAUGUUUGUUUAACUGUCUAUGCCUACGCAUUUGAUAAUGCCCCUUUCAUU
Molecule: long non-coding RNA, 1238 nt
Filed under: Vigna radiata
Lineage: Eukaryota; Viridiplantae; Streptophyta; Magnoliopsida; Fabales; Fabaceae
Description: long non-coding RNA (VRAD_LNC008001)
Source: RNAcentral